CCGGCACGGGUGAGUAACACGUAUCCAACCUGCCGUCUACUCUUGGACAGCCUUCUGAAAGGAAAGAAUUAAUACAAGAUGGCAUCAUGAGUCCGCAUGUCACAUGAUUAAAGGUAUUCCGGUAGACGAUGGGGAUGCGUUCCAUUAGAUAGUAGGCGGGGUAACGGCCCACCUAGUCUUCGAUGGAUAGGGGUUCUGAGAGGAAGGUCCCCCACAUUGGAACUGAGACACGGUCCAA
RNAcentral lists this ribosomal RNA (238 nucleotides) under uncultured bacterium. Its description in RNAcentral is "partial 16S ribosomal RNA". It matches the Rfam family "Bacterial small subunit ribosomal RNA", at positions 100 to 334 of the family's 1533-position model. The record is from RNAcentral.